GGCUCAGAACGACGCUGGCGGCGUGCCUAACACAUGCAAGUCGAGCGAGAAAGCCCGCAAGGGUGAGUAAAGCGGCGCACGGGUGAGUAACACGUGGGUAAUCUGCCCUAGAGUCCGGAAUAACUCGCCGAAAGGCGUGCUAAUGCCGGAUGAGACCACGGGAGCCUCGGCUCUCGCGGGAAAAGGUGGCCUCUGUACACAAGCUAUCGCUCUAGGAUGAGCCCGCGGCCCAUCAGCUCGUUGGCGGGGUAAUGGCCCACCAAGGCUACGACGGGUAGCUGGUCUGAGAGGACGAUCAGCCACACUGGAACUGAGACACGGUCCAGACUCCUACGGGAGGCAGCAGUGGGGAAUCUUGCGCAAUGGGCGAAAGCCUGACGCAGCAACGCCGCGUGUGUGAUGAAGGUCUUCGGAUCGUAAAGCACUGUCGCGAGGGACGAAUAAGGGGCGGGUUAACAUCCCGUUCCGAUGACGGUACCUCGAGAGGAAGCACCGGCUAACUCUGUGCCAGCAGCCGCGGUAAUACAGAGGGUGCGAGCGUUGUUCGGAAUUAUUGGGCGUAAAGCGCGUGUAGGCGGCCUUGCAAGUUGGGUGUGAAAGCCCUCGGCUUAACCGAGGAAGUGCGCCCAAAACUACGAGGCUUGAGUGCCGGAGAGGGUGGCGGAAUUCCCGGUGUAGAGGUGAAAUUCGUAGAUAUCGGGAGGAACACCAGUGGCGAAGGCGGCCACCUGGACGGUAACUGACGCUGAGACGCGAAAGCGUGGGGAGCAAACAGGAUUAGAUACCCUGGUAGUCCACGCUGUAAACGAUGAGCGCUAGGUGUUGUGGGUGUUGACCCCCGCAGUGCCGCAGCUAACGCAUUAAGCGCUCCGCCUGGGGAGUACGGCCCGCAGGCUAAAACUC
Molecule: ribosomal RNA, 903 nt
Filed under: uncultured bacterium
Lineage: Bacteria
Description: bacterial SSU rRNA
Rfam family: Bacterial small subunit ribosomal RNA
Source: RNAcentral